RNAcentral lists this long non-coding RNA (4729 nucleotides) under Triticum aestivum (bread wheat). Its description in RNAcentral is "long non-coding RNA (TAES_LNC007383)". Lineage: Eukaryota; Viridiplantae; Streptophyta; Magnoliopsida; Poales; Poaceae. The record is from RNAcentral.
UCCGACGAGACGCCGAUGGUGCAAGACCUGGCUUCGGCCGGCGUCGAGGAGCCGUCGAGCCGGUACUUAGUGCACGAGCAAGACCGUCAUGGCGACCUGCUGGCUGCUGACAAAAUGCCGGAGCACAUCCCUCUCAUUGACCUUAGCCGGCUCAUGGACGCCGACGAGGCUGACAAGCUCCGGGCGGCUCUACAGACCUGGGGCUUCUUCCUGGUGAGCGAGCAUCUAUGCAUGUGUGCACCUUAAUUACUCUUCCCUCCGUUCACAAGUAUAAGAUGUUCUAACCUUUUUGUGAAUUGGAUACAUAUAGGCAUGUUUAUGUUUUAGUGUGGUUGUUCAUCCAUUUCAGGCCGAGUGUAGUCCAUAUUAAAAUAUCCAAAACAUCUUAUAUUUGUAACGAAGGGAGUACUAGCUUGUAAAGUUAUUGGACUCUUACUGAAACUGUUUAACUUGUCCAGGCCACCAAUCAUGGGAUCGAGGAUUCUCUCAUGGAUGCAAUGAUGACCGCGUCAAGGGAGUUUUUCCGUCAACCGUCCGAAGAGAAGCAGAAAUGCAGCAACCUGGUGGACGGCAACGACAAGCAUUACCAGGUGGAAGGGUAUGGCAGUGACAGAGUGGUUUCCGAGGAUCAGGGCCUGAAUUGGAACGACCGGUUGCAUCUGAAGAGUGGAGCCGGAAGAUGAGAGGAAUUUUGCUAAGUGGCCCAGUCACCCGGAAUCUUUCAGGUUCCCUACUCCCUUACCUUGAGUGAUGUUUUUCACAUUUCUAAUACUGUAUUAGCUUAGUUGUAAAGGAAGGCAGAGUGAGAAUUCCAGAAAAGUAUCAAUGUAAACUGCACUCUGGGUAGUCAAUUGUCUCGUAGCAUUGCGCGUCUCUCUUGCUAGUGGGCCAGUAUUACCAUAUCAUUUCCUAUAAUUAAGUAAGGCUGAAAGUUAACUAAUUUUGAUACAAUUUUCCUUUGUGAAUGCAGACUUUUGAGAACUUCUCUUAAUGACGUAGUUUUCUCGAUGUUGUUUUGUGAAUUUAUUGAUUAAUUACUUUCUUUAUAAGAGAUUCAGUCUGGAGGUGAUUACCCUCUUUUAAAAAAAAAGAUAUUCAGAGACAAUUCAUAGAUAGAAACUUAAUAAAGAGACCAAAAUCUUUGAUUUGACUAAACUAUUAUAGAAUCUUUCUGCAGGAAUAUGCUAAAUGAGUAUGCAUCGAAAACCAAGAAACUAAGAGACAUUGUCUUGCGAUCAAUAGCCAAGCUCUUGGAGAUUGAUGAGGAUUACUUCGUCAACCAGAUAUCAAACAAGGCUUCCGGGUUUGCCAGACUCUACUACUAUCCUCCACGUCCGAGGCCUGACCUAGUUUUGGGCCUCAGGCCUCACUCUGAUGGAAAUCUCCUUACUAUCCUUUUUGUCGACGACGAUGUUGGUGGCUUGCAAGUUCAGAGAGAUGGGAAAUGGUACAAUGUUCCAGCCAAGCCUCACACACUGGUGAUCAACUUGGGAGACUGCCUGGAGGUAGGCACCUACACAUACAAGCUAGAUACGCACUUCCUCUCUUGAAUGGUCUAUAAUGAUCAUUGUUAUAUCCUAUUUCCUGAAUCCUAAUGUUUCAUUGACUCCUAUGUGAAAUUUUGACGCAGAUAAUGAACAACGGAAUCUUUAGGAGCCCGGUUCACAGAGUGGUGACAAACACCGAGAAGGAGAGGCUUUCGCUGGCCGUGUUCUAUGCCGUGGAUGAAGAAACAGUGCUGGAGCCAGCACCCGGUUUGCUGGAUGACAAGCGACCGCCAAGAUAUAGGAAAAUGAUGACCAAGCAUUUCGUGGCUGGGCUCUAUGAACAUUUCCGUCAAGGGAAGAGAUUCAUCGACACCCUGAAGAUAUAGAUUAUACAUGUUAGUUCAUGGAGUUGUAGUAGUGAUUACCUAUGUAGAAUAAAGUUUUACCGAUAUGUAAAAGAGGAGCGCCAGCGCCAUGCCUCUUUCACCGAAUCUUGAGUUGUAGUUUGUCAGUUAGCUGCCGCAGUUAAAACUUUUACAUGGUUAAUUUUUUUUGAGAAGGAGGAUGUACCCCGGUCUCUGCAUCUGAACGAUGUAUGCAGUCAUAUUAUUAAUUAUUCACAAAAAGCUUAGAAGGUGAUACAUUAGUAAGGCUGAAACCACCAUCUUGGUAACACCAUUGCUACUCCUAUCCCCUUGAUGAAGGCGUGACGAAUGUCCGGGCCUAAUACCAAAUAGACAUCGCACAGAAGCCUAACAUCUAAAGCCGGGUGUCCAAUCCAAGCCACUACCUGGAUUGGGUCCCACACCGGUUUGGCACACUCCUAGUGAGCACCGCACGCUGCAAGGACCGUCACCUCCAUCUUCCCUUGGUCCAUCCUCAGAGCAUAACUGAUGCACCAACCUUGCUAGGCCUCUCUGCCAUCAACGCCACCAUGACGCCAGACAGCUUCCUUCUCCUGCGCGAGUCCAUCUCCGCGCAUCAAACACCGAGUCUCCACGGCGCCACGGCACCGAGAACUGCCACCAUCAAUGUGGAAGAUGAAGCACCGCUCCACCAAAGGCGCCGUCCUCCGGUCCCUCGAGCCCGUGUGCACCUCCAAGAAUGACGCCACCAAGGGGGAAAUGACACCAGAGAGCCGCCGUCAUCCGAUCUACUGAUCUAGGGUUUCCCCCGGAGGUAGCAGAGAGUGGCCUUGAACUUCUCUACGGUGAUGCCUUCAAGAAGGGAAUGACGCAGACAGCGUCGCCAUCGACGGCCUUGGCAAUAGUCAAUAGCAGGUUUUCACCCAGAUCUGAUCGAAGACCUCCAUCUCUCGUGCACGGGCUGCCGCCAUCCCUGUCGGGAUCUCAACGAAGACUCCAAGGAGUGGAUCGGCGCCGCGGCGUAGUCGUCGUCGUGGCUGCCGUCGCCGGCUAAGUGUUUCCCCCAAUCCCAAGAGCCCCACCAUCCAAUCACCGCCCACCACCCGGAUUCAGCGAGCAAGGCCACACUGAAGCCCAGAUCGAGCGGGAUAAGGUGAAGGAGAUGAAGCCGGCGCAGGUCGAUCCAGAUCUGGCGGCCGGCCGACGGAAAUCACGGCCGCCAUGAGAUCCCACCACCGGGUCCUCGCCACCCAUGCAAGCCGAGGAAGACCGGCCACACCCCUGCAGCCACCCUCCAUCAGGGAAGGCGCCGCCCACCUUGACCGGGCCGCCACCACGGCACACCAAGCUCUCCGCGCGAGGCAGCAGCAGCCAGCCCCGCCGCCACCUUUCUCGAUGUUGCGCGGGCUUGCCGACGGCUAUCUCUGGUGGCGGCGAGAUCUGAAGGGAGGGGGAAGGGGGCCGGCGGCGCUCUAGGGUUGGGGCCGCCCGAGUCGCCCGAGAGGAGCGACGCGGGGCGGGGCUAAUCCAGCUUGGUGCUUUCAAAAUGAAGAAGAAUUAAAAUUGUUUCAUGUCCCCACAGCUUUGAGAUCGGUGAAGGAUUAUUCCAUCCUAUUCCACUUGUUCCACUGCUUGGCAAGAUAUGCAAGAUUCGGUGUUCUGUAUUUUGAGCUGUAGCUUGUCAGUUAGCUGCUGCAGUUAAAACUCUAGAAUGCGCCAUCUUUGUGCUCCUCAAUCUUCAUGUAGCAGUACUUUAAUCUGUUGGAAUGGCAGCGUUGUCGCAGCGUUACGUUUUUCCUUGUAAAUUGUAAAUAUCCUCUUACUUGCUGAUAUUAACGGGUAUCCCUUUAGGCUUGAAGAUUACUAAAUGAUUAUUGUGCUGAAGUCACGAGAAAACCUGAUUAUGAACAGAAAUCAACUGGAAUUGGGCCAGGAGACUGUCAGUCGCUUCGCAAAAAUAUUCUUUCUCAAAUUUGACUUGUCAGCCACUGUGAAUCUGGACAAUGGUCCAGUUUUUGUCAAUCCUUUUCCCAUCAAUUCAGCUCAGCCUGCCCGGUGGUCACUGGUGCUAUUGUUUUUUUUUCGAAACGGGUCACUGGUGCUAUUGUUGAUCAUGUGAUACAAGAUAAUAGGCUAUUAGUAGUACUCACAGCUCAGCCUGCCCGGUGGCCACUGGUGCUAUUGUUUUUUUUUUUUUUGAAAGAUCCGGGGUAACCGGCUUCAUUGAUUUAGGAGAAAGCAGCGGGAGAACAGGGAGAUCAAGUGAUCAUCGUUACAAGAGAGAAACGAAAGGAAAAACACGGAAACAGUUGGCCCAAGAUACAAGAUACUAGUAAUAGGCUAUUGGUAGUACUCAGUCUGACUGGAGGAUGACACAGCUGAAAAUUUAUGGGUAGCUCAGUGGCAAUCUUGACUGGAGUAUGAUACGAUUGCGACUGACAAAGAAGAGUCGCAUCGAGUGCGUCAUGCAUGAUGUCGCCCAGAAAAUGAUUGGGGGCACGUUUUUUCCUUUGAGGAGGAUUAAAACAAAUUUUGAAGAGGAAUAUCGAGGCACACUCGAGGCUAUACAUAACGGCCCCUCCAUCUUCAACUUCAAGUGAGCAGUAGUACACAAACACUUACCAAAGAGCAGAAUGGCUGCGUCCGACGAGUCGCCGAUGGUGCGGCCGACGGUGCAGGAGCUGGCAUCGGCCGGCGUCGAGGAGCCGCCGCGGCAGUACGUGCUGCCGGAGCAAGACCGUCACGGCGACCUGCUGGCCGCCGACGAGUUUCCGGAGCCCAUCCCCCUCAUCGAUCUUAGCCGGCUCACGGACGCCGACGAGGCCGAGAGGCUCCGGGCGGCUCUGCAGACCUGGGGCUUCUUCCUGGUGAGCGAGC